CAAACGGCCCUUUUCAGGGCCAAUAAAAAUUUUCAACGUUGACUCUU
Molecule: non-coding RNA, 47 nt
Organism: Lasius niger
Lineage: Eukaryota; Metazoa; Arthropoda; Insecta; Hymenoptera; Formicidae
Source: Rfam